RNAcentral lists this ribosomal RNA (1429 nucleotides) under uncultured Bordetella sp. Its description in RNAcentral is "partial 16S-23S ribosomal RNA intergenic spacer". It matches the Rfam family "Bacterial small subunit ribosomal RNA". Lineage: Bacteria; Pseudomonadati; Pseudomonadota; Betaproteobacteria; Burkholderiales; Alcaligenaceae. The record is from RNAcentral.
AGUCGAACGGCAGCACGGACUUCGGUCUGGUGGGCGAGUGGCGAACGGGUGAGUAAUGUAUCGGAACGUGCCUAGUAGCGGGGGAUAACUACGCGAAAGCGUAGCUAAUACCGCAUAAUAUGCCACUCUUCGGGGAAAGCGGGGGGACCUUCGGCCUCGCACUAUUAGAGCGGCCGAUAUCGGAUUAGCUAGUUGGUGGGGUAACGGCUCACCAAGGCGACGAUCCGUGUAGCUGGUUUGAGAGGACCAGCCACACUGGGACUGGAGACACGGCCCAGACUCCUACGGGAGGCAGCAGUGGGGAAUUUUGGACAAUGGGGGAAACCCUGAUCCAGCCAUCCCGCGUGUGCGAUGAAGGCCUUCGGGUUGUGGGGGUAAAGACUUUCUUGGCAGGAAAAGAAACGGCACGGGAUAACACCCGUGCAACUGACGGUACCUGCAGAAUAAGCACCGGCUAACUACGCCAGCAGCCGCGGUAAUUACGUAGGGUGCAAGCGUUAAUCGAAUUACUGGCGUAAAGCGUGCGGUGCGUUCGGAAAGAAAGAUGUGGAAAUCCCAGAGCUUAACUUUGGAACUGCAUUUUUAACUACCGAGCUAGAGUGUGUCAGAGGGAGUGUGGAAUUCGCGUGUAGCAGUGAAAUGCGUAGAUAUGCGGAGGAACACCGAUGGCGAAGGCAGCCUCCUGGGAUAACACUGACGCUCAUGCACGAAAGCGUGGGGAGCAAACAGGAUUAGAUACCUCUAGUUCACGCCCUAAACGAUGUCAACUAGCUGUUAAAUGCCUUGGUAGCGCAGCUAACGCGUGAAGUUGACCGCCUGGGAGUACGGUCAAAGAUUAAAACUCAAAGGAAUUGACGGGAUCCGCACAAGCGUGGAUGAUGUGGAUUAAUUCGAUGCAACGCGAAAACCUUACCUACCCCCGACAUGUCUGGAAUCCCGAAGAGAUUUGGGAGUGCUCGCAAGAGAACCGGAACACAGGUGCUGCAUGGCUGUCGUCAGCUCGUGUCGUGAGAUGCCGGGGUUAAGUCCCGCAACGAGCGCAACCCUUGUCAUUAGUUGCUACGAAAGGGCACUCUAAUGAGACUGCCGGUGACAAACCGGAGGAAGGUGGGGAUGACGUCAAGUCCUCAUGGCCCUUAAGGGUAGGGCUUCACACGUCAUAAUGGUCGGGACAGAGGGUCGCCAACCCGCGAGGGGAGCCAAUCCCAGAAACCCGAUCGUAGUCCGGAUCGCAGUUCGCAACUCGACUGCGUGAAGUCGGAAUCGCUAGCAAUCGCGGAUCAGCAUGUCGCGGUGAAUACGUUCCCGGGUCUUGUACACCGCCCGUCACACCAUGGGAGUGGGUUUUACCAGAAGUAGUUAGCCUAACCGUAAGGAGGGCGAUUACUACGGUAGGAUUCAUGACUGGGGUGAAGUCGUAACAAGGUAG